AUUGAACGCUGGCGGCAUGCCUUACACAUGCAAGUCGAACGGCAGCGGGGGAGAAGCUUGCUUUUCCUGCCGGCGAGUGGCGAACGGGUGAGUAAUACAUCGGAACGUGCCCUGUAGUGGGGGAUAACUAGUCGAAAGAUUAGCUAAUACCGCAUACGACCUGAGGGUGAAAGUGGGGGACCGCAAGGCCUCAUGCUAUAGGAGCGGCCGAUGUCUGAUUAGCUAGUUGGUGGGGUAAAGGCCUACCAAGGCGACGAUCAGUAGCUGGUCUGAGAGGACGAUCAGCCACACGGGGAGUGAGACACGGCCCAGACUCCUACGGGAGGCAGCAGUGGGGAAUGUUGGACAAUGGGCGAAAGCCUGAUCCAGCAAUGCCGCGUGUGUGAAGAAGGCCUUCGGGUUGUAAAGCACUUUUGUCCGGAAAGAAAUGGCUCUGGUUAAUACCUGGGGUCGAUGACGGUACCGGAAGAAUAAGGACCGGCUAACUACGUGCCAGCCGCCGCGGUAA
RNAcentral lists this ribosomal RNA (508 nucleotides) under uncultured bacterium. RNAcentral's name for it is "partial 16S ribosomal RNA". It matches the Rfam family "Bacterial small subunit ribosomal RNA", at positions 29 to 523 of the family's 1533-position model. The record is from RNAcentral.